GUUUGGAUUGCCGACCUUCCUGCAGAUCAGUGGACUGGCGAGGCGUCUGGGGGUCAGAGGAUGGAGUGGAAGGGAAGAACUUCCAUCAUCGUAAACCACUUGGAAAAAUGGGUACACAAUAGCAAGACUCAAUGACCCCCUCCUCUUCACCCCCAGGAGGUCCUCUGUCUGUUCCUCCAUAGGUUUCCAGAUUAACUGCCCACAUCCAUGUAGUGAGAGCUUCCCUGAACAUUGGAGGUGACAGGAGAGGUGACAGGACUUCAGGACAAAGUACAACUAUAGGGCUUUGAGCUGAUCACUCCUUCCUUUGUCUGGAGCUACUGCUGGCUCCCGGCUGACUUUCCACCCCCACUCUGUCCCUCCUUCCCCUUCCCCAUCUCCACAAACACCUUCCCCUUCCUUCUAGGUGCCUUCUGAACUGCCUCCGGAGUCACAGGCCUGGCCACCCAUGGGGUCUUCAGGUGGGGCUGCCUUUGCCCCUCCACUGGGAGCCCCCAUGAUCUCUGUCUGAGCUGCUCUGGAAUCCACUCUCCCCCAAUUUGCAGGGUGACCUUGAGCCCCUUGUUCCAUUUCUGGGCCUGUGGGAGAUUCUCUGGGAAGAUAGUCUACCCUGAUGCCCCUUGUUCUGCUGUGACCUGGGGAGGGAGAAUGAGUGGAAUGAAGCUUGUUCAGUUCUAGAAGAGUCACUGCUUGAGGAGACAGUCUCAUGAGUCUUAAGAUUACUUUGCCUCUCUCCUCCCUUUUUAAAGACCCAAGUGACUUGAACUUUUAAUUCGAUGACAAUAUGGACAUUGGCUGGGUCCAUGUUAUAUGUAUCCCUGUGAAAGCUAGUGACACCACAUUGGGACAUGGGAUCCAGAGUUGGGUCCUCCUCUGACUCACCAUCAGGUUGUCUCCAAAAAGCAGAGUGGAGGUGGGAGGCCCCUCCCCUCCCUAGUACAGGUUGCUCAAACCCCCUCAGGCCAGAUUGCAACCCUAGCUCUAUCUAAAGGGAAUUGUGCAUAGUCAUUGCCCUGGGCCCACAGGGUGAUCCUGGAAUAGGAAUAGGAGGUUUUAACACUCCUUGCAGUAUAUCCCACAGGGCAUGGCAGGCUCAGGUUGUGGGGGGCUGGGUGCAAAGUGAUGGUUAAUGGCUAACUUUCCUUAGAACUCCUCCAGCCUCCUUCCAACUUCAGGGUCUUUUUUUUUUUUUUUUGGUAGCGGGGAUUGAACUCAGGAGCACUUAACCUCUGAGCCACAUCCUCAGCCCUUUUAAUUAUUUUAUUUAGAGUGAGGGUCUUGUUAAGGCUGGUUUUGAACUCAGGAUCCUCCUGCCUCAGCUUCCUGUGCCUCUGGGAUUAUAGGCAUGCGCCACUGCACUUGGCAUAACUUCAGGGUCUUUUGCUGAGACCUCCUUUUAAUGCUCACUGCUUCUCUAUGGACUGAAGAAGGUUGAGAUGAGAGGGAUGCAGGGGAGGAGGCCAUAGUGAGCCCUCAGUAUCUGGAGCCUCUGCCCUGCCCAGGGUAGGGAUGCGGGAGGGUGCUCUGCCAAAGUGUUCACAUUUGUGAUCCUCGGGGGCAAGGGGCAGACAGGGAGGAUGUUUAGUGGCUUCCCUUACAUAUUUCACUCAGCAGCUUGGAGCAUGGACCAAGGUGAGGAGGCCUGUGCUUGGAAGGGGCCCUGAGCCAGCAAAUAAACAUUUACAAACUGUAAAAAGACCUUGUCCUUGCUGCUGGAGAGCCGGCCAGGAGGUGGAGACAGGACCAGAGCAUGAAUGAUAGAAAAGGCAAGAUGGAGUGAGUGGAAGCCAAUUCCUCUCCUCUAGGGCCCUCAGGACACCACUCCAGCAGAAUUAGGGUACCCAAGAGAUGACCUAUCACCCCCAUCAAAUCACAGCACUUUGUGCAGAGGGAGUAGGCUGGCAAAGUAAUAUUGGAUGUUUGGGGCAAACUGGGGGAAAUUGCUGCAUUUCCCUUCUCAGCCCAGGCCCUCACAGAGGCUACCUCAGCCCCAGGCCAGACCCAGAUCUGGGAGGGUAAUGAAACUGGUUGGUCCCUUUCUUCCCACAGGUAUCAGAGCCCCCUCUUUGCUCCCUUGGGGGAGCCUGGGAACAGCUGGGCCAAAGCCCAACCAGGAAUUUUUCCAGGCUGGUUCCUAUAUCCAAG
Molecule: long non-coding RNA, 2145 nt
Filed under: Marmota monax (woodchuck)
Lineage: Eukaryota; Metazoa; Chordata; Mammalia; Rodentia; Sciuridae
Source: RNAcentral